UUAAUUUCAGCUUAGGGCACCCAUUUGGCCAGCAGUGGCCCUGAUGAAGCAUCAUUACUGUAAUGAUUUGUUUUGGACCCGUGUUCCUCACAACUUUACAGCUGAGGUGGCCCAUGACCUUGAGGACCCCGUCCAUCCACCGGAUCCUGUCCAACGUGCGGAUGCCCGAGGGAGUCAAGUCCGGGGACAAAUUGUUAAUAAUUACUUUGCCUGAUCGCUGCGUGGGGAGGCCAGCACUGACAAGGAGCAACCACCUUUGAAAAGAAAGAAGAAAU
This is a long non-coding RNA of Xenopus tropicalis (tropical clawed frog), 275 nucleotides long. RefSeq lists it as uncharacterized. The record is from RefSeq and is a predicted model, not a curated record. Lineage: Eukaryota; Metazoa; Chordata; Amphibia; Anura; Pipidae. The transcript is spliced from 2 exons.